RNAcentral lists this ribosomal RNA (423 nucleotides) under uncultured bacterium. RNAcentral describes it as "partial 16S ribosomal RNA". It matches the Rfam family "Bacterial small subunit ribosomal RNA", at positions 361 to 776 of the family's 1533-position model. The record is from RNAcentral.
AUAUUGGACAAUGGGCGAAAGCCUGAUCCAGCCAUGCCGCGUGUGUGACGAAUGACUUCGGAUCUUAAAGCACUUUAAGUUGGGAGGAAGGGCUGUAGGUCAAUACCCCCCAAUUUCGACGAUACCAACAGAAUAAGCACCACCUACCUUCGUGCCAUCAGCCGCGGUAAUUCGUAGGGUGCAAGCGUUAAUCGGAAUUCCUGGGCGUAAAGCGCGCGUAGGUGGUUCGUUAAGUUGGAAGUGAAAGCCCCGGGAUUAACCUGGGAAUUGCUUUCAAAACUGACGAGCUAGAGUACGGUAGAGGGUAGUGGAAUUUCCUGUGUAGCGGUGAAAUGCGUAGAUAUAGGAAGGAACAUCAGUGGCGAAGGCGACUACCUGGACUGAUACUGACACUGAGGUGCGAAAGCGUGGGGAGCAAACAGG